Molecule: long non-coding RNA, 972 nt
Organism: Rhinopithecus roxellana (golden snub-nosed monkey)
Lineage: Eukaryota; Metazoa; Chordata; Mammalia; Primates; Cercopithecidae
Exons: 4
Source: RefSeq, a predicted model, not a curated record
GCGUCCUCUCUCGUCCUCUGCGUGCGCCGGCGGCUGCCAUGGUGGGUCGGGUGAUUGCAUUCUCCUGCCGCCCCUUUCCCGAGCGCCUGCGCGGGCCACGCCCUGCAUUCUUGCUCCCGCGGGCGCUGCGCGGCCUAAGGGACUCGGCUGCCGGCCUCCGGGUGCGGGGUGGGGGCGGGCUCUGACCUGGGACGUCCUGGCCGCGUAAGCCGCGGAAUGGGGUCCUGGCCCCGGAGGAGGCGCCGCUGCUGUGUUCCUUGGUGGCGAGGGCGCUGCCCGGCCCUGCGCGGUUUCCAGCCAGGAAGCUUCGAGAAUCCUGGACCGGUGCUCACUGGAAACGGCAUGUGCUUGGGGUGUUGGGAAGGAGGUGACUUUGCCUGUGAUGGACUUCCAGUGUGAGCACUGGCCAGGGUGACCAGGCUGACCUGCACCAGCCCUGAUCAAGAUGCAGAGGCCAGGAUGUGGGCCCAGCCCUGUGCAGGAGGCUGGCUGGAAUAAAGGUACAGAUACAGGCCUUGCCCCCUCUGGGACCACUGGCACUCGGGGUGUUUGCAGCCUCAGAGCCCAGUUUUCCACAAGCCCACCUGCCCCCAGGGCCACAGCUGCAUCUCUUGCUCUGCUUUCAUUACGGGGAUGGGCAGGCUGGCAUGGGGGCACCCGCUGCCCCUGCUUGGGUAGUGCUGUGUAUUCUAGCCAGGGGCCACUGCCAGGACUACGCCUCCAUUUUCAUAGCGCGAUUCUUAAGUUCUGCCAUUGUGGUAUUCUGGUGGGUAUUCGGGUGCUUGUCUGUUUUUGAACUGCCUGGAACCUAAGAUCCUGAAUUUUUUUUUCCCCUCUAAGGGGGAAAAUCUAUAUGGAAAACGUUUAUUUUAAAAUACAGGAUGAAGUGAAUUAAAAUAUUUAAUGCACAUUUCUUCAAGGACAAUAUUUCUGUGUUGGCAAAAUUUGAGAAUAAAUUGGCCUCGAACGGAA